Ictidomys tridecemlineatus (thirteen-lined ground squirrel) is the source of this 2871-nucleotide non-coding RNA. The record is from RefSeq and is a predicted model, not a curated record. NCBI's taxonomy places the organism in Eukaryota, Metazoa, Chordata, Mammalia, Rodentia, Sciuridae.
UUUAAAUAAUUGGACAAUUUUCAUUAAUCUUCCUUUUAAAUACAUAUACAUACUAUGAAGUACAAUCAUAUUUACUCUUAAAGGCACAAAACAUAUUUGAGGAUAGAACAAUUCAGGAAGAAAAUAAAUAAACCAUAUAAAAUUUUCCAACUAACAAAUGACUUUAAGAAAUCGGCCAAAUCAGCAGUUCCCUAUCUGAGAGUUAAUGGAAUUUCUUUCCAAGUUGUGAGUAAAUCUAAAUAUAAUCUCUACAGAUUAAAUAUUCAUACAUAGUAUUAUUCUUAAAAGUAUAUUGAAUCUAUUGUGAUUAACAAAAUGUUUUCAUUUAAAAAUAGAUACUGAAUUCAUGGUGGCUUUCUGGCAUGUGUUUUUUUAUCUAUCGAUACAUAAAAAAACAUAUAAGCACUAUUGGGGGAAGUCUGUAAAAUAAUCUCUUACAUUAAAGGGGGUUCUUUUAAAAAGAGAAAAAUUUUAAAAUACUGGACUGAAAGCCUACAUGUAUAGGCCCUGAGCAGCCUCCAUAACAGACUGCAGCCAGAUUGAGCCCUGCACUCUGUCAAGACAGCCAGACAAAAAUUUAUAAAACUUUACAGUUCUUUUAUAUCUUGCCUUUUCCCUCAAGUUAGCAUUUAUUCUGACUGCAGCUGUCAUUUAUUAUGAAAUUACUGCUUUUCUAACUGAAAAACUGAGUACUAGUAGCAUGAUUAGUAGCAUAAUUCUACUUUAGUGAAUUAGUUUCUACAAAACACAAAGUGUUUUAAGUCAUUCAUUAGUUAUUAACAAGAAUCAUUGACAUAAAACAGUAUUGGAUUUUUUAUAUAUAUAAUUAAGGUAUUGAGGAUAAGAGGUAUAGCUCAUUAUUGAAGAGAGCAUUUAGUAUACUGGAGGCAUAUCCACAGUACCCCCCCAAAAAAAAACAGACUGUUAAAUUAACAGACAAACAGAUUGUUAAUAUUCAAAAUAUGAGACUUUGAAUAUGUCUCUUUUUCUAUCAGAUGCUACUCUUUGAAAAAAAAUUGUAUUUAUUCUAUGUUUAGCCACAUAUUAACAAUAAAGGGCUUUUUAGAAAGUUUCAUUUGAAUGAAAAAUAGAUGUCUUCUAAGAUCAUUUUAUUAUGUAUUAUAAAUUAAAUAAUGUCUUAUAAAAUAAUGAAGGACAAAUUUCCAAGCAAACUUUGUGUACCAUAUUUCCCCAUUGUUUUUGUAGGACAGUGACUCUUGUAUUUCUACCCAAAGUCAACAGACUACAAUGCUAUUUAGAUGAAACUAAAGGAAAAAAGAUUCAUAUAUUUGUCCAAGACACUUCAGCUCAAAAAUGGCCAGCAGAGAAGCAAACCAGACAGCCUGACUACAAUUCUCCAGGCUUCAACACAGCACCAAGUUGCUUCAUGCUGUAUAAAUAUUUAAUGCACCUAUAGUGCAGGGUUUGUUAUACACACGCUCUUGUAUAUUUUUUAAUUAAAAUCCACAUUUCCAGAGUUGCUUAUUCUCAGAUUAUUUUCAAAGAGCUUUUACAGCCCUUUGCUAAUAAUCUUUAUUUUCUUUCCUUAAGAAGGACUUUCUAUGUUAUUUCCCUGUGAAGGAGAAAAUCAUGUGUGUCAAACUUUCGGCUUGCAUCUCCAAAGCAUUCACUAAUCUUCAUUUGUCAUUAUUCAUUGUGCUUAUAGAAACAUUUUAUUCUAAAAACGUCACAUCGGGAAUGACGUCUAUGAAUUUCAUCCAUAGAAUCAUUUAACAAUCACAAAAAUUUAAAACUGAGCCAGAUAGUAUUUGCUCUUAGGAACCUUACCAAUUCUGAAGCUACUACUUCCUAUUCUUGCCAUACCAUGAGCUAUGCCCUAAUAAUAGAAGAACCUCCCCUCCUGUACAAACCCACACAGUGUUAAUUACACACGUAGCGAUGAUGAAUCAGGAAUGCAGCUAUUUGAAGUACUGCUGUUUCAUGUUUAGCUAACACCUAGUUGUAUUGCCUACACUGAUGUUGUUACACCUUAAGCAACAUUUUACAGUUAAAAUACUAACUUUCAUAAAGCCAAUCAUUCCAUAAACAUUUUAGGCUUGCUCUUUUAACAAACAUUUUAUGUAUCCUGCCACCACAAAGCAGCCAUUUAAAUAAAUAUAUUUAAUCGGAGGAAAUUUGAAUUUAUUGCUAAAUCAUUUGCAUAAUUAUUUUAUGAUUACAUUUGAAUUUAUGUAUUUUUAUAAAUGUUAAUGUUAACAUUCUCAGUAGCAGAAUACUCAGGUGAUAGAUUCUCUAGCAUGAGACUUUCUUGUGUUUCAAUCUCCUCAAAGAUAUAAAAAUUACUUUCUACAUCUAAAUAUCAACAAACAGUACAGAAGAUUACCUAAUGUAUGAAUAUCCUGGAGAUAAAACAUUUAGAAAACCAGUGGAAUGUCACUAAAAUGCCUGAUUUUUUUUUUUUAAUGAUUGAUAGUUUUUCACUUGUUAGCCUUAUCACUAAUGGACAAGUAAAACAUUGCUAAUGAAGGUAAUAAAACAAGAACAACUUAAGUUUUUAUUACUCCUAUUCUGUAUCUGACUUAGAAAAUAGCUCCCAAUAAAAUUCUGCAUUAAUAAGAUUAUACUUUAUUUUAUAACACAUUGUAAGGCAGUAUUUGUGCAAACAGUUAAUAUUUUAUUCAAUGACUGUAUACAUGUUCAUUCUCACCGAUGGCUGCAUUCAGAAAAAUGACUGAUGCCUGGGCCUUACCUUCUGGAGCUUCUGACUCGUUUGAUCUAAGGAGGGUCCCAAGGAAAUGCAUUCUUACAAACUGAAAGCUUAAUGUUUUAACUCAAACAUAGAAAGAGUAUUGAACUAUACCUUUUAAAUCCAAAUUGUAGUCCUGACUCAAAAUAAAUUGUGUCGUGAUC